CCGAAGUGUAACGCUGUCGGUCGAGCACGAGCAACCCUCAGGCUGGCUGCAACUGCUAUGGCUAUUGACCGAACUUGGCGGACCGGCCGGUCAGCUGUGCGCCGAGCCGCAAGAGAUAUUCUCUGUGCUGAGGAAUUGUCAUAGAUGUAUGACUCGCGGCCGGUGACAACAGCAAAGGGAUUGGUUGAAGAAAGGAGUUGAGUGUAUGGAAACGUUGAAUGUUUCGGCAACGAAAUCGGCGAAGGUCGAAAAGCAGAGGAGAAAUAAUAUCGGACCAGCUAAACGCAGAGUCCCAGCCAAAUUUUAUAGUACGUGAUCGCUACUGAACGGAAGACAUUCGUGUUGUGUACUUCGAGACGUCGAAUGAUAAUCUCUCGCGACUAACGAGCCAAAGCUUGGAAGCGUUUCCCGUAAUGCUUGUGAAUAAUUAAACUAAUACGGUGUAGAUGGACGGAUCGGCGUGAUCAAAAAGCGGAUGAAAAGAGCAGCAAAUGUAGAAGAAAAGAAGAGAUUGUUGGUACGUAGACCGGCUGCGUAUGGCUAAUAGACGAGCGAAGGAGAGACGUGGAAGAAGAGGCAAGGGAACAUGAAAUGUGUGAGAGAAAGAAACAAUAGUAACAGAGGUGGAAAAAGGGGGCGAAUGUAACGAAAAGAGUGAAGGAACGAAGUUUUGCAGAGAGAAAAAGGGAGGGGGAGAAAAAGAAAAUAUAUUGCAAAAGAAAGAGAUAGGUAUAUAGAUAGGUAUGGUGCACAUACAUGCAGAAAGUGACGUAUGUGUCGUGGUCGUAUGUGCAGGUGUGCGCGUGGUGCCGGUGCAAAAAGUGCAGUGUUCAGUGGACUUUUCCAUCUCGUGCGUGCACUGUUUCUGCGAAUAGGCACGUAUAUGCCGGUGUGAACUGUUCGGAAAACGAGUAAUAUAGUAAGAGAAUUCGAAUGUUACAAUUCUUCUACGCUGGGAGCUCGAUUAACGAAAGAAAAGUCUUAUUGUAAGCGUUACUCGGAGCCGUGUCGAAAUUCGGACGUGUCAUUUCGAAGGAAUUGGAAGAUUCUUCUCUCGAUAUUGAUUUGAAAAAACCUAUUCGGAGUCGUUCGUCUCGAUAGAACGGAUCUGCCAAGGAGAAAAAAAAAGUGCAUGUAACGAGAAAAGGAACGAGGUAAUAAGAUCGUCCGACGAACUGCUUUACCGACAGAUUCGUUGACUCGCUGUUGGUAAGGUGGCUCCACAGUGAUCUAUCGACGAGGAAGAACGCGAGUCAGAUCGAGGAGACGCGGCAGUCGCGAAUUAUUAGUACUCGUGAUAAGGGCAAGAGCAGAUGUGUUCUAGUUUGUGAUCAAUGAUCUUUACGCGGAUCGUUUGAAUCGAUAUCCACUGCGAAAAGUGGAAAAUACGGAAACGGUAUCAAUCGAUAGUGAGAAAUGAGUGAGAGAGAGAGAGAGAGAGAAAGAGAGAUGUCAAUUCGCGCAACGUUAUAUGUGAUUUGGUGAACUCGUGAAAUUAGACGAACACGUUUCAACCACAAAUGAUCGUUUUUCUAUUCGUCGGUCGCCGCAACACGGUAACUAUUUCGUAACUGUCUUAGCCUUAUUCUAUUUAAUUAACGAAAAGAAUCACUUUAAGUCACUCGGAAUCGCUCUCUCGAAUAACCCACGAGGAUCCCUCUUGUCUAUACAAGCUCGUGGGACUACGUUGAAAAUCGUUCGGUGUCGUUGCUUGACGAAACCGGUUUCGUUCGGCUCGGCGAAUCUCGGCGUUUAUACAAAGGUCGUGUGUGCACACGAGAGAGAGAGAGAUUGAGAGAGAGGGAGAGAGAGGGAGAGAGAGGAGGGAGCGAGGAGUGAGAUUUAUGGAAAACAAAUUUCCACGAGGUCACACCCACGGGAGCGACUCUUUUUCUCUCUAUUUCUCUCAUUUUCUCUCUUUUUUGGUCUGUUUUUUUUUAUUUUCUUCUCUUUAAUCGUCUUCAGCGCUGUCCGUCUCCACUUGGACUAUAAAUAAGGAAUAAUAAAGGACGAAAUUGAGAAAGGCAGUUCGAAUCACGUCGAUCGAGAAUAGAUUAUCCAUUGGAAAUCCAGCGGAUCUUCUUUUCUUCCUGGACAACGAAAGAAAGCUAUAUGAUAGAAGCAGCGUUGAUGAUAUAUGAGCGAUCUUGCAACACGACUCGACCGAAGGGAUCGCAUCAUUUAUACAUGAGAAUCUGACGACGACGACAAGAACAUAUCGCUGUGGACGAAGAGAGUAAGUAGAAUAAGUACAACUUCGGUCGCAACUUCGAAUGUGCGUUCUCUGAGAGAAGGGAAAUCAACAGAGAAGCAAUCUUGCUAGAAGCAGAGGAGACGAGGCGAAUACGAAGGCGAAAGCGACAAUGAGGGGCAAUUCGCGUCUGUCGAAGGAGGCGCAGGAUUCGCCAGAAAACCGCAGCUCGAACUCGACAGCUUCCGUGGAAGCGUUUAAUAAAACCUAGUCGUGGCUAGAGAUUUGAUGUUUGUGAUCAGCCUGGACGAUGAAGCGGGCGUCGAGUGCAUCCGCUGCAGCUGCUGCGACCGCCGCUGUCUCGCAGGUGCAGCCUGCGGUCAACUUACAGGGCAGGAUACACGAUCUCUUUAGCCCGAUAACGACGGCAGGCAGCGCGAGCAGAGAAGAAAACGAAAAGCUCGCCGGAACGACCAAAGUAUUGGUCAAGGGGAAUCGGAACGAUGACGCUAAGGCUAAGUCCACGACUAUGUCGCGGCUCAUAGCUGUUGACUCUGACAAUUACAUGCUCCGGAAAGGCGCCACCUCGGUAAACGCCACUUCCGUCGCCUCGACGUCCACCGUCGUCGCAACGAUCGUGCCGUCGAAUUCGAUAUCGAACAGCGCCUCCUCCACCACAAUCAGUCCCAAUCUACAGCUGUAUCCCCGACAGCGUAAUUUCCACGCUAAUCUAUUCGUUAUAACGAAUGGUGGAACUUAUAGCGAUGUCCAGACUAUUACUUCACGAACUAUCUCUAGCGACCAAUCACCUAAAGGAAGUGUUGCGUUGUCUCUACUCAGACGACAGUCACGUCUUUUUGGCCAGGAAUACGCGCGUCUUUGGCCAAAUGGAUUGUUUCCCUGUGCUAGAACAUACUCGUUCCAUCAGUAUCUGUGCUCGUGCGAGCAUUCGCCACCGCAACAGAAUGGCGCACCAUCGGUGAAUGGCGUUGUCGCUCACGAUCUAAUGGCAGAGGAUGGUGUCUAUUCGAAUUUAGUUGGUCACGAGAGCUUCGAUGGUGAUAGCGGGCAGCGUGUCCUUGAUAAGGAUACCGGAGCCAUUCGCGAGUCGACUAUUGUACGCAAUUUAUGCUGUUGCAUGUGCGGUUCUCUAUGUCCUCCAGAGUGCCAUGCGUGCUUCCACGUGGUCUGCUCGGACUACAGCGGGCAGCACCUCUGCCAAUGGAGUAGCAAGGGUCACGCGCUACCGGGCCAGGUUCUCGACAAGGACAAGCCCGUGAGCGAGUGGACGUCUCUAAACGUUGUUGAGUGGAUGGCUGCCCUAAAUCUCUACCGCUAUGCGGAUGUUUUCAAGUCUAAAGACAUCAAGGGGAGCGAUCUUCCUUUUCUGGAUCGGGAUAAGCUGAUGAAUAUGGGCAUCAAGGAUGACUUCCACCAGAAGACCAUUUUGGCCUGCAUCGAGGAGCUCUGUCAUGCCCCGUCGACGAGCGCCACGUUGUCGGAGGCGGCCACCACGGCCACAUCGAACACGUCCUCCGGCGAAACGGUCACCGGUUGCAGCAGCUCCGUGGCCACCGGCAAUUCGCCGCACACCCUCAUGCCUCAGAGCUUCAGCGUUCUGGAGAAGUGCGAUAAGUGCCAUAAAUACCUCAGGGGCCUCUUGCACCAAGGCUUUCUCUGUUUAGAUUGCGGUCUGGUAGCUCAUAGGACGUGUACGGCGACGGGUUUACCCUCCAACUGCAUGCCAGUCGACUCGGAAAAUCGUACCCAUAGAUUUACUCCAGUAUUUGGUCUUGGCCUGUGCUCGCAAUUCGACAUCUCCUCGCGCUCGGCUCCUCUGUUGGUGGAACGAUGCACCAGUGCCUUGGAGGAGAAGGCAUUCGAGGACAGCACGCUGGAUUUGUACAAAGUCUACCACAGUAGUCCCCCGAACGAGAAAACGUUGGAAUUACGGCAAAAAUUGAACGAAGAUGUAUGUAACGCCGAUUUAAGUUCGUACAGUGCUCAGUGUGUAGCGAGUGUUUUGAAAAAGUUUCUACGAGAAUUGCCAGACCCUGUGAUCCCUGUACAGUUUUACGACAGAUUUAUAGAAGCAUCCAAUACGAAAAACGAUGAGCAGUGUGCAGUGCGCUUGGGACAGCUCGUUUCGGAACUUCCAGAUCAUCACCGUAGUACUUUGUUUCACCUGAUGGCCCAUUUUUGUCGAAUCUGUCAAUUACAACACGGAAGAGGUUACACGGAACCUCCCACCAUCCUUAUACAAGUGCUGUGUCAUAUUUUCGUUAGACCUCCUUGGGAACGGAUCGUGCAAAUUGUUCACAAUAUCGAGGCGCAUAUACGAAUAGUGGAGGUGUUGUUGUUGCACGGCGAUUGGAACGAGAGGCUGCCUCAAUUUGCCAGUCCACCGCAGCUACCACCGCGAAAAGUUUCGAGGCCGCAGUUUCCAGUUUUAGAUCCAUUCUCCGUUCUCGAUGAGGAUAAUUCUGUGGAGCGGACAAUGUCCGUCUCGGAGAGCAAGGAAUCGCAGCAGCAGCCGCACAGGCCACGCACGCUUCAAGAAGCUGAAUGGUAUUGGGGUGAUAUCACGAGGGAUGAGGUGAACGAGAAGAUGAUCGAUUCGCCGGAUGGCACUUUUCUAGUACGCGAUGCGUCUUCGAAGGGUGGGGAGUACACACUGACAUUGCGUAAAGGUGGGACCAACAAGCUUAUCAAGAUUUGUCAACGGAACGGAAAAUACGGCUUCUCGGAGCCGUAUAACUUUCAUUCGGUUAUCGAGCUGGUGGAUUACUACAGGAAUUGUUCUCUGGCGCAGUAUAAUUCAACGUUGGAUAUUAAACUGUUGUAUCCUGUAUCCCGGUUUCAACAGGACGAUGAAAUUGCAAGUACAACAGAUAUGGCGAAUGUCGCCCAGAAAUAUGUUGAACUUGAUAAAGAGAUAACCGAUGCGUUGAAAGAAUAUAAAGAACUUUCGGAAUUGUACAAUAGAACGUCUUUCGAGGUCCAGUUGAAACGACAAGCGUUAGAAGCUUUUUCAGAGGCUAUCAAAAUGUUCGAGGAACAAAUGAAAUUGCAAGAGAAAUUUCAGAAAGAAGCACAACCGCAUGAAAUAUCAACAUUAAUCGAUAAUGCCGAGUUGUUGAAACGAAGACUGAAAUCUUUAGAGGAUAGCAGGGAACAGUUGGAUUGUAGUUUGAAAGAACAGAUCGCGUAUAAUAGAACUCUGGAAAGAGAAAUGCACAAAUUGAAGCCUGAACUCUUGCAACUCGUACGUCAAAGGGAUAAACAUUUAAUAUGGCUGAAAAAGAACGGUAUGAAACAAAAUAAAAUAAGCCAACUUGUGCUAAAUCAUUCGAUGUCGAAUCCUUUGUUGGGUGACUUGGCGUAUGGUGAUCUUCAAGAAGUGGAUCUUGAAGUUCAUUCCGACGAAACGACGUGGCUUUAUCUUGAAUGUUCUCGUUCCGAUGCCGAUCGAAUUCUGGCUGAGAAAUCGGAUGGUACCUUCCUUAUUCGAACAUCAAGAACGGGACAAUACGCACUUUCCAUCAUGUGUAAUGGUACAGUGAACCAUUGCAUAAUAUACGGUACUGAACGUGGUUUUGGAUUCGCUGAACCGUACAACAUCCACAAGAGUUUGAAACAUUUGGUGCUACAUUACGCUCAGAAUUCUUUGGAGGAACACAACGAGAGUCUUAACACGACUCUAGCUUAUCCAGCUUUCGCUUCACCUGCGGCAUUGUCGCAGUUGCAGGCUCAACAGAUGCAAUUGCAAAUGAAAACGCACACCCAAAACCAAUUACAAUUGACACGUCCUCUUGAAAAUCAACAUUAUAUGACGCACACGUAAUGCUCGUGCGUCGAUCAAUAGAGUUACAAGGAUAUUAGGCUGUAUGUGUGCAUGAAAGUUUUCUCGAUUACCACCGAGGCUUAAUUUAGAAAUUGAAAGUUAAUCAGGUGAUGAUAAAUGAUUUUUCGAAUAGACCCUGCGAAAGAGUGAUCGAAAAGUGAAGCCUUUUUUCCGCCUGUUUUUAGUCCCUUGAUUUUGGUAUCAAAUAAUCGCUGAGACGUCAAUCACUGCAAAUUUUCGAAUUAAGUCGACGAUUGCUUUCUGAGACAUGAGUCAAAGUUCAUGUUCAUUAACGCAUCAGUUUGUAUGCUUCGAUGUGCAGAUUUUUAUAUUUGGAUUUAUCAAGGAGUUGGCUGAUGAACUUAGAUUCAUAGUUGUGAUAUAAAUUAUUUCUUUAUUCUUUUAAAUACGCACUUAUUUAUUGUUAUCCAUAUAGUAAUUGUUAAAUUAUUAUUUGAAUUUUAUUCUUUUAUGCCUGAUGAAGAGAACUUGAUCUCAAUGAUGAUGAAAUGAAGAUGAUAAAAAAAGUAGACUCGAUAUUGGAAGAGAAAGCGGCAUGGUGGAGCGUUGAUGUUAUAGUAUAUUGAAUUUUAAAAUAUAUUUUAAAUUUUUAAAAUCCAAGAUCGAAUUCGUAGUUUGCAAUCGGAUAGAUUCCUGGAUACAAUUUUUUUAAAUUAUCUAAUCAACAUAAAAACCUGCAAUUGAUGCGUUAAUAGAUGUGGAGUAUUUUUAUUCGAGACACUCAUUGUCUGAGACUCAAAUUUGCUAUGAUUGAAGUAUCAUCACAAGCUAUCAUUUGACACCAAAAUCAGUUUCAAAGUUAAUGGUCCAAGAACGGGAAAUUAUUUUCGGUCACUUUUUCUAUCCGUGUUAAUCGAUGUGUGGUGGUAUUAUCUACGGAGACAGAAUACGCGCCCGACAAUUGAUCGUUCCAUUUUUAUAGGCCGGAAGUAAACGCUUCCUUAAAUGAAGUACAGUGGUAUUGAUAACGAUUGAGGAAACAUUGAUAGCGAUAGUAAUUCUCAGAAGCUAUAGUUUAUAAGACAAUUAUACAAGUAUGUUACCGUGGUGCAGAAAGCGAUUGUUGAGAUCGACAGAACCACUGAACACAUAUACUACCGUAGAUUUUCCAAUUUUGUCGAGGUUUUUUGACAAACCUUUUUGGAUUGAUCUUGUCGACGAUCAACCGAGAAAUUUUCUUUGGCACGUUUUUGCAAGAUUGCGGGAACAGAAAUGAACCGUUUGCCGUCAGUUUGUAUUUUUCAAGACGGGGAGAAGAAUUGUUUCGAUGUUGGAACGGUGUUACGUCACGUUUUUCGAGAUACACUUAUUCGAUCGAACAUGUCAGAGUAACAGAGGCAUAGGUCUAGUCUUGCAGGCAAUUUGGCGACUACAAAGCAGAGUGAAUCAUAAGUCUGACUACGCUCAAACUACUCGCAGUUUCGAUUGGUAAUCAGGGUAGUUGCAUUUCAUAGAAAAAAAAAAAAAAAAUAAUAAUUUGAUAUUCAUCUAACAACUAACCAUAGAUGGACGCGUCUGUUCCUCCUCGGGGGUGGAAAAUGGAUAGACGCAACGCAUUUCGCAAACCGCUGUACUUCUGACUUCUUCGAUAAUGUUUCGUGAAUAUUUCCCAAACCCUUCGAUUUUGUGUAACGCGUGGUACGCGUGGUAUCACUACGUGAUACGAGCGGGUAUCGUUUACGUCGCGAACGAAGCGAUUCACGAGUAAGGCACGAGUUGUUCAACAAGUGAUACUAGAGUAUAUAAUUAGACGCAUUGCAACAUGUAACUGAGCCUCUCGGAUGCUUACCGAACAUUUUUUGUAGCGAUUUACAGUACUAAAGUAGCAUCUAUCACAGUUGUACAACUCAACGCUUGGGGAGGCUCGUUUCGAACGUUUUAACGAAUGCUACUUCUGUUCGGUUCUCGAUUUAAAUGUGUGCCUGCUCGUGUUACUUUUGAACUUCAUCACAACGAAAAAGGAAAAAAAAGAAAAAUUUACACGAAUGCGCGGGAGCUUUUUUAUAUAUAUAUGUUAGAUUUCAAGUGCUGUGCCAGAUCUGUGUAGGCUACUACGCGCAUCUAAAACCACGUGUAUGUGCUGAGGGAGAAUAGGAGUGUGUGUAUGUGUGGGUGUGUGUGAAAUAGAGAGAGAGAUAGAGAGAGAGAGAGAGAGAGAGAGAGAGAAAGGGAGCGAAUGUGAGGGAGAGAAAGAGAGGAAGCGAAAGAGGAGAGAAAGUGAGAGAAAAAGGGGGAAAUCAUUUUUCGUGGAGUUAAGCAUAUUGUCUGUGAUUGCUGAGAAAGGAGAUGUAUAUGUAUAUAUGUGUGUAUGUGCGUGUGCAUAUAUACAUAUAUAUGUAUAUAUACAAACAUAUAUAUAUAUAUAUAUAUAUAUAUAUAUAUAUAUAUAUAUAUAUAUAUAUUAUAUAGAUAUAUGGAUAUAUAUUAUAUCGUUUAUAUUAUUUUCAAAUUGCUUUUUACAAAUUGCUUUUCUUCUGUCAUCAUUUGUUUUUUUUUUCUCUCUUUUAUCGUUUACGAAACGUGUGAUUGUUGGUUUGAUUCCGACAAAUGUAGAUAAUAGAAUUCUAUUGCGAGACCGUAUGUGCAAAAGCUACUCGUGAUUUUUAAUAAUUGUAAUUUUCUUCUUACGUUCGAUCGAGAGCGGUUGCUUUUCUUUCUGUACGCCGCGUCAGAGUCUCGUCGCGCUCUUUUCUCUAUCGACUCGAUGCGUUCCUGACUCUGAAACGUUCGCGAGACGUCGCCUCGGUUCGAUUUUAUCCGUAUUCCUGUGUCAUACCGAGUACCGGUAAAAUCUGUGCGCACGCUACGUUCUCGCGAACGUUGAACAGAGUCGAUCUCCUUUCGCUUUGGAUGUCAAAGCUUGCCGCGUGCUCUUUGAAUGAUCUCAAAAAGGUAACGGCGGUCUCGCUGGUUGGCACGAUAACGAGAAGAAUCCUCGAAGGGAACCGAUCGCGAUCGGAUCGAUACUCGAGAAAUUUUACGCAUUACAUUGCGGUCCGUAAUCGUAAGAGUGUAUCGAGGACGAAUCCAUCGCGAACAACGGUUCGUCUGCUUUUAGCGGCCAUUCGAGUCCGAAUGACGAUUCUUCUGGUUAUCAUUUCCUCUCGCGCGACUUCCGCUACCGAUUGUAUAGUCAAAAGAAAACUGUAAGCCGGAUAUCUUGCAAACGGGUCUGUGAACGAGUGAGAAACGAUCUCGAGCUUGAAAGAGUCGAAAGCGGCGACGAGCUGUAAUUUUUUUUCUUUUUUUGUUCUUCGUUCGUUCGUUCGUUUGUGCAGUAUAAGGUGACGAAUAUCGAGGAGAGUCAGAAAACGCGAACAGAAACAUAAGCGAUAAUAGAAGAGAGAGAAAAAGAUUGUUAA
Frieseomelitta varia is the source of this 9418-nucleotide RNA transcript. It is a transcript of the gene named phosphatidylinositol 3-kinase regulatory subunit gamma, with no coding region annotated. The record is from RefSeq and is a predicted model, not a curated record. The transcript has 14 exons. Lineage: Eukaryota; Metazoa; Arthropoda; Insecta; Hymenoptera; Apidae.